Non-coding RNA from Oryza glumipatula, 195 nucleotides. The record is from Rfam. Lineage: Eukaryota; Viridiplantae; Streptophyta; Magnoliopsida; Poales; Poaceae.
AUUAUGAGAAUACUACGCGUUCUCGUGCCAACGUUUUACUGUUCGUUUUAUAUGAAAUUUUUAUAUAACUAAUAUUUUUAUUAUUAUUAGAUGAUAAAACAUGAUUAAUACUUUAUACGUGAUUUAUCUUUUUAAAUUUUUUUUAUAAUAUUUUCAAAUAAAACGGACGGUCAAACGUUGGACACAUAAAUCAGG